Molecule: small RNA, 127 nt
Filed under: Marmota monax (woodchuck)
Lineage: Eukaryota; Metazoa; Chordata; Mammalia; Rodentia; Sciuridae
Source: RNAcentral
GCCAGGAAUGGUAGCCCAUGCCUGUAAUCCCAGCAGCUUGGGAGGCUGAGUCAGGAGGAUGGCAAGUUCAAAGCCAGCCUCAGCGGCUUAGUAAAAUCCUAAGCAACUUAGUGAGACUCUGUCUCAA